UACGGGAGGCAGCAGUGGGGAAUAUUGCACAAUGGGCGCAAGCCUGAUGCAGCCAUGCCGCGUGUAUGAAGAAGGCCCUUCGGGUUGUAAAGUACUUUCAGUCGUGAGGAAGGUGUUAAGGUUAAUAACCUUAGCAAUUGACGUUAGCGACAGAAGAAGCACCGGCUAACUCUGUGCCAGCAGCCGCGGUAAUACGGAGGGUGCGAGCGUUAAUCGGAAUUACUGGGCGUAAAGGGCACGCAGGCGGUUAAUUAAGUUGGAUGUGAAAUCCCCGGGCUUAACCUGGGAAUGGCAUUCAAGACUGGUUAGCUAGAGUCUUGUAGAGGGGGUAGAAUUCCAUGUGUAGCGGUGAAAUGCGUAGAGAUGUGGAGGAAUACCGGUGGCGAAGGCGGCCCCUGGGACAAAGACUGACGCUCAUGUGCGAAAGCGUGGGGAGCAAACAGGAUUAGAUACC
Molecule: ribosomal RNA, 454 nt
Filed under: uncultured bacterium
Lineage: Bacteria
Description: bacterial SSU rRNA
Rfam family: Bacterial small subunit ribosomal RNA
Source: RNAcentral